CGAAUGCUGACGUGAGUAACGACAAAACGGGUGAAAAACCCGUUCGCCGAAAGACCAAGGGUUCCAGUCCAACGUUAAUCGGGGCUGGGUGAGUCGACCCCUAAGGCGAGGCCGAAAGGCGUAGUCGAUGGGAAAAUGGUUAAUAUUCCAUUACUUCUGUGUAAUGCGAUGAGAGGACGGAGAAGGCUAAAUCAGCCUGGCGUUGGUUGUCCAGGUGAAAGGAUGUAGGCAUGUAUCUUAGGCAAAUCCGGGGUACUCUAUGCUGAGAUCUGAUAGCAAGCUGUACUUGUACAGCGAAGUGGUUGAUGCCAUGCUUCCAGGAAAAGUCUCUAAGCUUCAGUUACACAGGAAUCGUACCCGAAACCGACACAGGUGGUCAGGUCGAGUAGACCAAGGCGCUUGAGAGAACUCUGCUGAAGGAACUAGGCAAAAUGGUACCGUAACUUCGGGAGAAGGUACGCUGUUGUUGGUGAUGGAACUCGCUUCCUGAGCUGACGACAGCCGCAGAAACCAGGCCGCUGCAACUGUUUAUUAAAAACAUAGCACUCUGCAAACACGAAAGUGGACGUAUAGGGUGUGAUGCCUGCCCGGUGCUGGAAGGUUAAUUGAUGGGGUUAGCGUAAGCGAAGCUCUUGAUCGAAGCCCCAGUAAACGGCGGCCGUAACUAUAACGGUCCUAAGGUAGCGAAAUUCCUUGUCGGGUAAGUUCCGACCUGCACGAAUGGCAUAAUGAUGGCGGCGCUGUCUCCAGCAGAGGCUCAGUGAAAUCGAAAUCGCUGUGAAGAUGCAGUGUACCCGCGGCUAGACGGAAAGACCCCGUGAACCUUUACUGCAGCUUGACACUGAACUUUGACCUUACUUGUGUAGGAUAGGUGGGAGGCUUUGAAGCUGGAACGCUAGUUCCAGUGGAGCCGUCCUUGAAAUACCACCCUGGUAAUGUUGAGGUUCUAACUCUGUCCCGUGAUCCGGGACGAGGACCGUGUCUGGUGGGUAGUUUGACUGGGGCGGUCUCCUCCUAAAGAGUAACGGAGGAGUACGAAGGUGCGCUCAGCGUGGUCGGAAAUCACGCGUAGAGUAUAAAGGCAAAAGCGCGCUUAACUGCGAGACCCACAAGUCGAGCAGGUACGAAAGUAGGUCUUAGUGAUCCGGUGGUUCUGUAUGGAAGGGCCAUCGCUCAACGGAUAAAAGGUACUC
RNAcentral lists this ribosomal RNA (1193 nucleotides) under Acinetobacter baumannii. Its description in RNAcentral is "partial 23S ribosomal RNA". It matches the Rfam family "Bacterial large subunit ribosomal RNA", at positions 1291 to 2468 of the family's 2925-position model. Lineage: Bacteria; Pseudomonadati; Pseudomonadota; Gammaproteobacteria; Moraxellales; Moraxellaceae. The record is from RNAcentral.